Molecule: long non-coding RNA, 8686 nt
Filed under: Lactuca sativa (garden lettuce)
Lineage: Eukaryota; Viridiplantae; Streptophyta; Magnoliopsida; Asterales; Asteraceae
Description: long non-coding RNA (LSAT_LNC000242)
Source: RNAcentral
UCUUACACUCCAUACAUGGUUUGUUGUCUUUCAUCUUGCCUUGACUUUGUACAUAAACGUAUGUAUAAAAGGAAUGCAUUGCUAGUAAGAAAUGUUGGUUCUUUUGCUCUCUUUUCUCUCUAAUAGGGCUGCCAUAUUUCAAGAUUUACAAGCCUCCUUCCUUCUCUUCUUUCUCUAAUAGGGCUGCCAUAGUUCACCGGGUGACCCCUUCAUAUUUUUGAUAAUGACCAUUUAAAAUGGUAAAACACAAAUACAUACUCCUAAAAGGCAAAAAAAAUCACGAAGGACCUUUUAAACCAAUAUAUUAAACAUCGUUGGGCUACAGUGACAAUAACCUAAUAUGUUCUGUCAAAAUGUUAAAAUUUUAAAUAUGGAUUCGGUUGAUUUAAAUAUUUUUUAUUUAUUUUCUAAAAAUCAAAACAAAUAAUAAUUAAAAUGCUAUAUCAUUAUAAUAACAACACAAUUUUAUAAGACGAUAAAAGUUUUGUAUAUGUUAUUCUUAAACAUUAAACUAUUAUAUUUGUCCGGUUUAAUUUUUUAAAUGUUAUAUUUGCCAAAAAAAAAUUACAAUAUGAUUAUUUGUUUAUAAUUGUUUUUAUAUUUUAAAACUAUUAUAACAAUUUAAAAUUUUGGCUAUAUUAUCUCUACGCCUAAAUCUAUGGUACAUUUACUUCCAAAAUGUUUAAAUGUCGUCAUCUUCACAAACAAAGCACAUCAUAUUUAGCUUUUUUACUUGGAAUGUAUGUAUUGAUUGCUUAGUUUUUGUUGUUGUUGAUUGUUGUCAUAUUGUAGAUGGAGAAUAUUUUAGAUGUUAUCCUUGAUAUUUGGUGUUUAUGAAUAUCAUAUAUGAUUUCUUUUUUAUGUUUAAGAAAGACACAUGUAAUAAUUUGAUUAUAACAUUCCAAAAUAUACAGUAAGUUUUCAUUUUUAAAAUAAAGUAAAAACCAUAUGAUAUCAAUCCAAACAAAAUAUAUUCAAAACAUGAGUUUGAAGCUCCAUAAAUUAUCAUAGUGAAAUCAUAAAACAAAUAGUAUGGAAUCUUCGGUGGAUUGGAUGUAAUCAAACUGGACUCUUUCCUUUGCUACCGAAAGUAGUUGAAACAUUUAAACUUAAACCGUAAGCACAAAGCUUAGUGAUGUUUCCCAAAAACAGGUCUCGCCCCAUCAAUCAUAUAAACAGUCAUCGCCCAACGGGUCUCACCCAACAAGCAUAUAAAUUGGGCUCGCCCAACAUAAUAUUCAUGUAGUGUCACAAAGACAAUAGUAAUCCAAUGACAUCUAGAGUCCUACAUAGUAUAGUGUCUAAGACAGAACAAAUAACCACAACAUCUCACUAGAAAUGAAAACGCCGAUAACACAAACAACCUAAACAUUAAUAAAAGGUUAAAUCCCAACAAUGACUUAAAACCCUAAAGUUUGACCAACAAGUCAACUGGUCAAAAAGUCAACGAUUGACCCACUACGUUGUGGCCAACCCUAUGAUUGAGCCAUGGCAACAAGAUGACAAAAUAGACACGGUUGAAACCCAUCAUCACACCACGACCCACUACUCAUCAUGUUGUGGCGAGCAUCCAAAACAACUUAAUGGAUUAAGCUCUUAACCCUUAACCUCCAGAGCUCAAAAGCUCAUAUUUGAUUCUUCUAAGGUCUUAUUGGAUAAAGUUUCCAACUUUAUCAAAUAGGACAUCAUAAUAAGCCAAGAUCUAAAAAUGCUAAGUCCAAAAUGGUCAUUCUAAAUGCUUGGAAUCAAGGCUAGUCCACACAAGCACCCUUUCAUUAACAACAAAGAUCUAAAACUAUGAAAGUGUACCAAUAGGUUCUAGAGUUCACUUAAACUCCAAGAACAUGAAGGUUUUGGGACCAAAAUGACCAUAACAACAAUAUAACUUAGAUCUAUGGAGAAUAAACAUAAAGGUUGAGACUUUAUACCUCCCAAUAGUUUAGAAGAUGAAUUUGAUGGACAAGCUAGGAUGGAAAACCUCUUCUUCUUUCACCAAAGAUCAACACCUUCUUCAAUAUUACACCAAAACUAAGCUCUUAGAGAACCAAAGGGAAUUAGGUUAGGGUAAGGGUGCUUUCAGGGAAUGGAGGUUGCCAAAUAAGGUAAACCUAGAAGUUAGAGCCCUUAAAUAAGUCUCUUAUAAGGUAAAAUUUUCAUUUUUAAUUCAACAAGAAACACCAAUUAUCCUUUUUCCAAUCAUUCAAAAGUAUUUCAGAAUAAAAACAGUUAUCAAAGUACAAUCUCAAAAUCAUAUAGUUGCGGAAAGAGGGGUAGAUGCAUUUCGAUCAAGUCGGGCCCUUCCCUUUCGAACCGGAAGUACCUAAAACCAUAACCAUAAAACUGUAACCACAAAGCUUAGUGAGUUCCCCAAAGUACCACAUAUAUUACAUAAGAAAUGAAUGUUAUGGGCCAAAUCAUAGUCUUACAAUAACUUCCUUCCAUGGGCCAAAUCAUGGUAUUUCCUUGCAAUGUCGAGGUCCAAAUCAUAGUCUUACAUACAAGUGUCAAGGUCCAAAUCCUGGUCUUCAAUGGAAUUGUAAGGGUCUGGUCUUUCAUACAAUUGUCAGGGGCCAAAUCCUGGUCUUUCAUGCAAGUAUCAUAGAGACAACUAGCAUUCUACAUAACAAAGUAAUGGGUCGGAAUUGGUGCCUUCGACCCAUGGAUAUAUUGGGAAAACUGACCUCAAUCAGUCGAUAACCAACUAUGCUCAAGAGCCAAUGCUCAGAAAGCUCCAUGCACACUAAUCAAACCAAAAUCAUUAUCCUAAUUAAUAAUUAAGAUAAUACCCAUCGAACGAGUCAACUACUCAACAAUUCCAAGAAUAGGCAAAAGACCAUUUUGCCCCACAAUAAGUCGAAGCCACUCAACAAUUGACCAAAAGUCAACAUGUCCAUAAAAGUCAACAAAAGUCAACAGUUGUUGAGUACGCCAGACGUAUGCAUGAUUAGCCUAGUACGCACAAUAUACUCUGGAGUACGCCCAACGUACUGGUCAGUCCCUAUUUCUCAAUCCAAAUUACUUAAUCCAUUAAGCCCACAAUGACCAAACCUCAGAUAUAUUGCUAAAUAAAGUCUUAAUACAUAAAGUUGGCAACUUUACUCCAUUGCAUAUCUUAAAUGGACUCAAACCACAACCCAAGCUUCAUAACUUCAUAAAAAGGUCACUAAUUCUUGCAUGAAAGAAUAAUACUCCUCAAGAUCCAAACUUAAUGACUUAAUGACCUCAACAAGGACCAAAUAUGAGGCUCAAAGGUUCUGGAAUAACUUUCUACUCACAAGAACCACAACCAUGGGUCCAAAACAUAACAAAUUACCACCCAACUAGAUCUAUAAGAAAAAAUCAUCAAGAUUAAAGCUUUAUACCUCCAGAAGGUAGAUCAAGAUGAACAAAGUCCGAAUCUACAAGAUCCAAGCUAACCAACACUUCUUCAAUGAGCUCCUUCCUCCUCAAUGUGCACCAAGAACACUUCAAAUCACUGCAAAGGCUCAAGAAUACUCAAAGGAAGGCUAGGGUUUCGAGAUUACAGGUUGAGGGGGAUAGAGGUUGAAUAUGGGGAGGGUUCUGAGAGUUAAUGAUGCUUAAAUAGGGUUUAAAGGCUCAAUAUUAGGGUUUACACCUGACUGGAGUACGCCCGACGUACUCCAUCGUCCAACCGCAAUCAUCUAGUCCAGUGCGCCCAUCGUACACCUAUGUACGCCCCGCAUACUGGAUUAACCUAGCAUCCUCCUAACUUUCGAAAGCCAUAACUUCUUCGAUUUCUAUGAUCCUUAUAUCCACGGAAAUGUAACGAGAAGCUCUACAAUCCUAUCAACUCUCUUUUGUCUUAAAACCUUCCAAACUUAAAUCCAAAAUUCAUGAAAAGACCCGACCCCAUAGCCUCCAAAGCACAAGGUGAACUCUUGGAUCACAUAAUCUACAUUACCCACAUCUAAAUGGGUCUAACCCGCUCCUUCCCCAAAGUCCAAAGCCUUAUGAUGAUUAAUCUUCGGGUCACGACCCCAAAUUAAGAAACGAUUUGAAACAGGGUGUUACACCCGAUGUCUAGGGUUUUGAACCUCAGCCGCCACCGCACCGCGAUGAGGUCCUGAAUGCACCGCCACUUAAUGACACAUCCCUUGUCGUACUCCAAAUCUUUCUGCGUCGUGGUGCAAAGAAAUUCCCAACUUUAACUUAAAAAGACAAAAGACGUUCUUGGAAUACAUGUGUUACAUUGAUGUUUAAGAAUGUAUAUUAUAAACGUUACAAUUUUGGUGCAAUAUGCAUAUUUCUACACUAGGUGUGAGACCCGUAUGUUAUACGGGUUUGAUAAAACAAAAAAUUAAAUAUAAAAGUUUAAACAAAAAGUUUAUUUAAAUUAAAAAUUUUAGAUUUGAAAUUUAAAAUUUAAAAUUUAAAAUUUAAAAUUAAAAAGUAACAUAUUAAAUAUUAUAUGAGUAGUAAUAUUGUAAUUUAUUGGUUAUUUUCAAUUAAAGUAAUUAUUAAUUGAGGUAUAAAUAUGAUGUGUUAAUUAAGAAAAGAUAAAAUAUAAGAAAAUGACAAAUGGAAAAAAAACAUUUAAUCAAAAAUACCAAAAAAUGACAUGUGUCAAAAUCAAUGAGAGAAUGACAUGUGGCAAAAUUAUUUUCAUUUAUUAGGUAGGAUGUUUGGUCACAAUUUUGAGAAAUUGAUAUCAUCCAUUUAAUUCUGUUAGAUGCCUUCGCGUGUCUUGCAUAUGAAGGCAAAUUAGUCAUUUCCUUACUCUUUCUUGGCAUCAUAAGUUAAGCGAGAAAUUAAAUAUCCUCUACAUUUUCUUACUUUGCGUUUAAACAUUUAUUGUUUGAGUUUAAACAAUCAUAACUUAAUCAUUUCCCUACACCUUCACGUGUCCUGCAUAUGAGGGCAAACUAGUCAUUUAUUGCAUGUUAUUUGUUUUUAAUUUGCCUAUAUACAUCGUUGUUGAUCGAGUAAUCUAUGUUUGGUGUUUCUGUUUUGGUAAUUUAUGAUUGCUGUUUAAUUUCAUGUAAUAAUUGUAUUGUUCGGCUGGAUUUGGUUUUUGUUUUAAGGUGAUGCAGUUAGGUUUUUAGAACGACACUAAAAAUUUGCACUUUUAAUCAGAAAUAUAAUCAAAUUUCUAUUACCUUUUUUCUAAAUAAUUUUACUCUACACACUACCUGUUAAACGACUAUUGCAAUGUGCCAAAGUUUUAACCACCACACAUUAUGCAUUUUCUCAUCACAGUUUAAACCAAUUUUUUAACCUUUCCAAGCUUAAUGAUAAUAAUUGCCUGGUAAUACUAUUUUUCGUAUUGUUCACUUUUUAAACUGUAAUCCAAAUUUAUGUUCCUAAAAUAAAACUCACUGUAUUAUCACAUCAACAUUAACUACAAAGUUUAGUCAAAACACCACUAAACAAAAGAAAAAACAAAAUUGAAGAAAACCUAGCUACCAUAGAACAUUAUUUUGUAUCUAUCUGCACUUUUUAGUGCCUCUUCAAGGUUGUUCUUAGACCUCACCCAGCCUUGAAUAAUGUUAUAAUGAUAUAAUUGAAAAUAUAAUGUUAUAAAGUAUAAUAGGUCACAAGUUGACUUUUGUGUUUUGAAAUGAGUCAACUCGUGACUCGUACGAGUUUGAUUCUACAAAAACAUAUCUUAAUUAGCAAUAGAAUGAUGAAUAUAUAAGUUGUAUACUUGACUUUGAUGUACAUGUCCGCAAUAAAUUGUAUACUCUUUAAAAAAAAUAUAAAUAAUGAAUGUAAGUACGGUUAUAAAUGAAUGUACAAUAAUCUAUUUUGAUAGAUUUGCAAAAUAAAUGUCUUAAUAUGAAAGAAAUUAAAACUAUAAUAACCAAAUUCAAACGAGUUUCAAAUUACAAUGUUUUAUCAGAAAAGACUAAUAAACAAUGUCUUAACAAAAAAGGGAAAAACUUAAACUAUAAUGCUCUAAUUAUUAACAAAAGUCAAACAAUUCUGUAAUGCUAGAAUUGAUUAGAUUUUCAAAAUAAAAUGUCUAUGCAGUAUCUUAACAAAAAAAACAAUUUAAAGUAUAAUGUUGGCAACCAAAUUUAGUCAAAUCUGAAUUAAAAUACAAUGUCGUAUUAUGAAAAAAUUAAAAAUGUCUUAAUGUGUUGGUUUUGAAAGUAGAGAGUUAUAAUUGAAAUUGUACAUUAAAGUAAUAUUAAAAAACAAAUUUUCAUUUUGAAAGCAAAAAAAUCCCUAAAAGUAAUAUUAAAAAAAAAAAGUAUAUAUGAUGUUUUAAUAUUUUAGAUUGAGUUUAAAAUGUUAUGAUGAAAAAUAUAAUGUCAUAAAUUGUUUGAUUUUCAAAGUACAAACCAUUACUAGAAAUUAAUUAAAAUACGAUGAUUUAUUGCAAAUAGAUGAAAAAAAUACAGUUUGUAUUAUGAAAAGAUAUACAGUGUCUUUUGAAAGUACAAUGUUAUAACUGAAAGUAUAAUUUAAAGUAUAUAGUUUGUAAGCAAAACAAAACAAAUUAUGAUUUUCAAAGUAAGAAAAAAAUCUUACAGUAAACAAAAAAUAGAGCUACCAUGUCUUAAUAUAUUAGAUUUUGAGUUUAAAAUGUUUUAAUGAAUUAUACAAUGUAAUAAAUGGAUGGAUUUUCAAAGUACAGUGUAUUAAUAGAAAUUAAAUUACAAUGUUUCAUUACAAAAAUAUGAAAAAAAAUACAAAGUCGUUAUUAUGAAAAGAAAUACAUCAUAACAUGUUAGAUUUAUAAAGUACAAAGUUAAUAUUGAAAGUAUAAUUAGCAACCAAAACAAAACAAAUAUAGAUUUUCAAGGUAAAAAAAAAUCCGUAAACAAAAAAAAAUAGAAGAAGGAUUGCUUAAUAUGAUACAUUUUAAGUUUAAAAUGUAAUAAUGUAAAAUACAAUUUCAAAGUACAAUGUAUUACUAGGAAUUAACUAAAAACACGAUGAUUUAUUUGAAAAUAUGAAAAAACACAAAGUCAUAUUAUGAAAAAAAUUGAAGUAUGAUACUCCUAUCUUAUUAUGUUAGAUUUUGAGUUUAAAAAUGUUAUACUGAAAAAUAGAAGCAUGAUGUCUGAACCUCUGAAUAUGAAGAUUUUAGAAGUAAAUCAUGUUAAUAGGUAAACAUAUGUUACUAGGUUAAAAUUAUAUUUACAUAUUUGUUACCCUUACAAAGAAAGACGCAGUGGGAUAUAAAAACAAACAACCCAUAACUUCUCAUUCAUUGCUUCUAAAUAACAUUCAACUUCAAUCACAACUAUAUAAAACUUUUAUUUUAAGUUAUGACAUAUUGAACGUAAUACUAUCUAUUUUUAUCCACACAAAACACACAUACAAUUUUAAAAUAUAUUAUUUUGUUAAAAAUUUCAGUUUUUGUCCAAUGGCACAAUGGUCAAUUUCAAAAAAAAAAAUAACACCUAGGCUGAUAACUUAGACAACCAGGGACCAAAAUCAUUGUAAAAUAAUAAUAUAAGAACCAAAAUUGCAACCCGGCUCGUUUAGGAACCAAGGAAAAGAUCAAAUGAACACAGGGACCAAAAAUGUAAUUUACUACAACUAUAAUUACCUUAUCACAAACAAUAACAGUCUGGUCUGGUUAGUUUUUGAAGCCAAUUGUGUUGAAAUCAUAGGCUCUUUAUACACCAAAGCUAUUCAAUAUAGUUGUGGCAAAGUUUUGUAGUGCAUAGAGUUUUAGGAGGUGAUACAAUAGAGUAGAUAGCAAUACAUUGCAUUCAGAUUGUAUAUAAUCCUGAUAAAUGUGACCUUGUUGCAUGUGCUAGAUACAUGUUAUCUUGUUGCAUAAAGCAGAUGCAACAAGAUCGCAUUUAUCUGGAUUAUAAACAAUGCGAAUACAACAUUUUGCUAUCUAAUCUAUUAGAUCAACUCCUAAAUGUUGUACCACACAUUUCAUUUCAUAGAGUGUUUUUGUGAUGUUUGCAAAACCAUUUCUCUUGAGGGGGGUUUGUUUCUGAUAGAUGCACAUUCUGUGUCACCAAAAAGAAUGAAAAUUAGAUUCAUUAUGAAUUAAUAAUAAACAAAAGUAUUAAUCGUUAAUCUAAACUCUACCUUUAUGGAAUAUCCUAAGGCUUUGCUAUGUUUAGUAGAGUAUUUGCUUUAAUGAUACCAUAAAUCUUUUCAAAAAUGCUAUUAAUUAAGAUCUGAAAUCGUACUAGAGUAGAAAUUUGUAAAACCAAUAAUACCAAAUUUGACCAAUAUUUUACAAUCCAAAACAAAACUACAAAAACCCCUAAUCCAGCUUUUAUUUAAACAUUGAAAUCUAAGUACUGGGAAACGAUAGCUCUGCACAAACCCACAUCCUCAAAAAAGGUAUUAGGGGUUGUUGAAUCGAAACCCUAAUGUGUUAACUAGCUGUAAUUGUUGACAACCAACUAGCGAAAAACCCUACAGAUGUCCGAUAAAACAAAAUAAAGAAUGGAAAAGACAAUAAGAAUGAAAGCUUACAGAGAUGUUGAUAAUUUCAUGGAGUGUUUGGGUCUUUCGAUAACAGAAUGAUGGAAAACAAGGCUAUGUGUAUCUGAUUCUGAAACGAUGGUUUUGUAUAUCUCCGGAGAAGGACGGCGAUGUUUGGGUAGGGAGUUAGGCUAUCGGUAAUUGGGUUUGGUUUGUUGAUAUCGGGACGAGUGAAAGAACGUAUCUAUUUAUAACGCCACCGACCUAUCCCUUUCCAUUUCAAGUUCCAAACGGUUACAUAAUUUAAAGCAGAUUUUUC